Aplysia californica (California sea hare) is the source of this 591-nucleotide long non-coding RNA. RefSeq lists it as uncharacterized. The record is from RefSeq and is a predicted model, not a curated record. The transcript is spliced from 2 exons. Lineage: Eukaryota; Metazoa; Mollusca; Gastropoda; Aplysiida; Aplysiidae.
CUCUCUCUCUCUCUCUCUCUCUCUCUCUCCUCCUGGUGUGCGGGUGUAGUGAUUUUUUAGACGUACCGUAAUUCUAUCUAUGCUGUUUGCUGGAAAUAUCAGCCUAUCAUCGCACUUUUUUGACAUUAUUCACGAGUCGGAACUCCGUACGGACUCGGCCACUGGUAUCACAGUCCACACGUGGUUUAGCUUUUCUUGAGAUCAUUUCUGAGUUUCUUCAUUCUGGUCGCCCCAGGUGACAGCAAUCUGUAACUCCUUUUGAUUUGCUGUUAAAAGAGGUGUUUGUAAUAACAAUCCCGCUGACUUUGCAAAAGUUUGCAAGCUUAUCACAACAGUCGUAUCUGUUUUUCAGCCAGUCCUAUUCCAUAUUCCUUGCCUUUUUUGUCUUCCAUUUUUUUGUUGGCAUUAAGGUUGUCCGUGAUCAUUCAAACUUUUUAUUUGCGAAUUUUGUAUUUUUAUAUUUUCAAGUCAGUAAUUUUAUUUUCUUCGGUGCUUCUGGGGGAGGGUGCAUUACAUUGUUAGAAUUGCAACAACGUGUAUGGAGAUAAGAAAAUAGGGUGUAAAUAUUUCCAUGAUUUGAGUAUCCAUUUU